This 113-nucleotide non-coding RNA is filed under the name uncultured Sporolactobacillus sp. Its description in RNAcentral is "SAM riboswitch (S box leader)". It matches the Rfam family "SAM riboswitch aptamer (S box leader)". From Rfam's summary of the family: The SAM riboswitch is found upstream of a number of genes which code for proteins involved in methionine or cysteine biosynthesis in Gram-positive bacteria. The SAM riboswitch acts at the level of transcription termination control. The record is from RNAcentral. Lineage: Bacteria; Bacillati; Bacillota; Bacilli; Caryophanales; Sporolactobacillaceae.
UCUUAUCCAGAGUGGCAGAGGGACUGGCCCGAUGAUGCCCGGCAACCACCGGAAUUUUGUAAAAAUCCGGAAAGGUGCUAAUUCCUGCGGAUAUCAUUAUCCGGCAGAUGAGA